AUACCCUAAUGUCUACAAAUUUAUAUGAACUGAAUAUCAUUAUAAUAUCUUACUUCGUUUCAAAAGUAUACUAUAUAAUAUAAAGGUUCGUAAGUGCACGUUUCUACGACGAAGUGGUGUCGAGUAGUUGGCAAAUAACGUCCGGGAUGACGCAGAGUGCAAAGGGUUAAGUUUCGUUCGAGUAUUGAGACUAGUCUCGACUUAAUUCGAAUGGAGCGUGGCAAAUGAAGAAACAAAUUCGCGCUACCUGUAAGUGUUUAACUAGAUGAGCGAUUUCAAGGCCAACGAGUCUGGUGUUAGCCGUGGCCUGGGUGUAGAGAGGCAGACUGCCUCCUGCCCAGUCGACAAUGAUGACAUUGUAGUCGUCGUGCCUGAGCAACUCAUUCCUCAUUUCCUACGGUUAAUGAACAUUCAGGUUAGAAAAUGAUGCCCGCAUCGAGCGUUCGAUCGAUCUUUACGCAAACAACAUUCAAAUCAACGGCAAACGAAUCUUGCUUAACAUAGUGGAUUCGCCUAACUCGAAGACAUUACAUUGCUCUUGAGCUGCUUGUUCUGUGGAAAAAUUGGCGGUGCUUAAAAUUAUGUGAUCAGUUCGAUUCGUGGCUGAUUGAAAACCGAAGGCCGAUAGUUCGAUUUUGGCAAACCGAUCCAGCGUCAAUCAAUUAAAUCAAUUUCGGCGCUGAUAACUGAAUCAUUGAACGAUCGUUAAAUUGACUUGGCGAUGCUUCUCGGGCUUACCUUGACCCAAUUACUAAGGGGCGUGUCUAUAAAACCAUGAAUGAUGAAUUUUGUCUUUCGUUUCGGAUUGAAGUAGGAGCGUUUGAUGGACUUAUCUUUAGCGACUAUCAGCACCUGACCCUGAAACAUCAGAAUUUAAUUAAACCAAAUGUAACGGCGACCGACGAUUCUACUCACCUCCAAGGGAUUUUCUUUCGUGUAUAAAAUGAAUCUCGUAUUGAUAACCUCCCGCGGCAGAGGGAAGACGUUCAGGGGCCUGUGGAUGAGGUGGUACCAGCUCCUGGUUAUGUUCAAACAGCCUAGCUCAUCGUAGCAACGUGUUUCGUUCUCGACUGUUCACACCACAUCCAGAUUAUUGUAAACAGCGUAUCAAUUAUAAUAACUUUUGGAAUAAUUACAUGGUAACCAUGGUAUGUUGACCUCGAUUCGAUCGCUACGUGCCCACUGCCAUGGGUCCAGGAUUCCGGCGUAGCAGAUGACAGGAGCCAAUGCGACGAGUAGCAAAAUCGACGCUCCUUCGCCCUCUGUGGCUCUCAGCUUCUUCCUCCUCAUCCUGCAAUCGGAUUAAGCCGGGUAUAAUUAAUAUCGUAAAUAAUUCAAGAAUAAUUGAUCCAAAUUCGAAGAGAAAUUGUUGUCGAUUGUUUCACGACCAAGGAAGAAGGGCGGGUAAAUGGGCCGCAUACCGCAUCUUCAUUUUCCUACAAAGCGAGCUAGCGAUGUCUGACUUUCGCUUCGAUUGAACAACUCGCUAGUUCCCACGCUAAUCGUAAAAUCAUGCGGGAGUUUUAACGAACUGCGAGGACGACGAAACAAACGGAUAUCAAAACGUCGAUCAAAACGCGGCGGCUCGAUGAAAUCACUUUAACUCAACACUGGUUACCGGUGCAUCGUUGUAACUUAGUUGAACAGUUGGCCUAAUGAAAGAUUGGCCUGGAAGAGCGAUCGGUUUUCGCGGAACGAUACGACUGUCGAGCUGAAGGUACACCACUGUUGGAGAUCGUCUCACGUAACAGUGAUCAGUAUACUAAAUGGUCAGAAGUGUGAUGGUCUUGUAAAAAAGAGUUGCUAUUUCUUCUGGAAGGAGAGGAAUGAUGGCCUUCGAGGAUAUGACAACCUUGUCCCAGGCGUCCUCUUAAUCCCUGGAAUAUUCAAGGCCAUUCAGAUAAUUCUUUCGUCACUAUUUGAUUGGAUGGAUCGCCGAAGGUUUUAGAUUUGACGAUAUCAGUACCAAAGCAACGAAAGAACCGGUCAGCACGUGUUCGUCCUCGUUUGAAGUACUCGUGUAAUUCUUUGAAACAUUCUAUAUACCGCGACUUUCGAGAUUGAUAUUAAUUAAGAAACUCUGUUCGACCGGACGGAUUCAAACUCGCGUCGCGCCGGGAAAAUCAUCGUUGUGGAAAUAUACUUUCUACUGCACAACGUGAAACAUUAAGGCGCUAUCAUUGCGCGGAUUCCGCAGUGUGUACGGUCUGAAAAAUGCGGAAUAAAGAGGAAUGCGUAGAAAAAGGUAACGGUAACCUGGGAACCUGUAUUACGGUGACGUAUAAGGUCGGCGUUCGCGUGGAAUGUCGCACGAUACCCUGUUCGUCUGCAUUUCUCAUCAGCAGCUGCGGCGAGGACACGGUGCUACAUCGUGUUAACUGUGCUCAUCAAUUUCAACUCAUUCCCAUUCGCAACGCUCUAAUCUUACUGGCUAUAAUCGCUCAUAAAUUCUUUCGCCAACGAAUCACCGUUUUCUUCUUUCACUACUGGAUCAGAUGAAACCUAAACGAUACUUGAGAGUCCUAAACUCGAAGCGACGCGGAUAAACCGAAGAAAACUCGGUCAAACUCGAGACAAUUUAAUAAAACUCAAGAGAACCGAGUCUAACUCGAGCCAACUUGGUCAUACUCAACAGUACUUAGUCAAAUUGAAGACAACUCGGUCGAAUUCAUCACAACUCAGGUAAACUAGAGGCAACUCGAUCAAAUUGGGUGCAACUCGGCCAAACUGAUGAUUAUUCAGUUAAGUUUUGGACAAGUCAGUCAAAUUUAUUCAAACUGAUGAUAAUUCAGUUAUAUUCAGGACAAUUCAGUUAAGCUCAGUUUACUUAAACUUUGGCUUAAACUGCGUCAAACUGAAGACAACUUGUACAAACUCAAUACAACUCGGUCAAACCCCGUAAAAAAUCUGAAAACAACUCGUUAAAAUUCGAGUCGACUGAACUUGAUCCAUUUGUCAGCGGAUAUUACAUUGAAUAUCGCCGUUCUCGCGUAGUCCCAAUUUCGCCACGCGUUUCCAAACACAGAGCGGCGACGUAACAGCCAGACCCUGGUGUGCCGUGUUGCGUAAUUCUAGAUCGGUGUCACCUAAAAACGCAGAGAACCCGCUAACUUACACCCAUCGGCGGUGUUUACCGUCCCGGCCACCCCGUUACGUAAAACCGGACCCAAGUUGUUGUUGUGCGGCGCCUGGAGAUCGGCUUUUCGAAAAUGCUUUCAUUACCGCUGGAAAGCGUAUCCUCGGGACGGUGAAGAAGGGAGAGAGGCCAGGAGAGACCGGAUGAUGGAAGAGGCCGCAGGAUGGGCCCCGAAAAGACCCCGAUCUCUGCCCACUCCGCUCGCAUUUCACCCGUGGCUGCGGGUAUUAAAUAAUUAUUUCGAAAGCGAGAGUGUAACCGCGGCGCCAGCGUUCGCAAGCGAUUCGCAAAUUCGUCUUCUCUUUGAAACUGCAAGUCCUCGCUUUUCAUCGUUGCAUUCCCCGUGCCGCCGGAUGUUCUUAUCUUUUUAAUUAAUUUUAUAACGAUGUGAAUGUCUGGACUGUGGCUGCGAUACUAUCGGAUUAUCGUUUCCGUUUCUUGAGCAAGCCGAAUUUUACGUUUACGCUCGUUCCCAUGAUUUAAAAAAGAAAAGCUAAAGGUAACUGCUGUGUAUUUCUGUACAAGAAUAAUAAAAUUGCAUUUAGUUAUUGCUAUUUUUUUAUAAUGUAUGUAUGAAUGAAGAUAUUGAUUAAAUCAUUUUCUAUGAAAGAGCCUUUAUUGUUCCGACAAUUAA
Non-coding RNA from Megalopta genalis, 3770 nucleotides. NCBI's taxonomy places the organism in Eukaryota, Metazoa, Arthropoda, Insecta, Hymenoptera, Halictidae. The record is from RefSeq and is a predicted model, not a curated record.